UCAAAAUUAAGGGUAGUGGUGCAGGGCCGUUCUUAGUUCGUGGAAUGAUUUGUCUGGUUAAUUCCGAUAACGAACGUGACUCAAUCAAAUUAAAUAGAACGCUAUCAGCAGUCAGAUGUUGAUACCGACGGUUCGGGCAACGGUCGCUCGCCGUUCGCGCUCGCCGGCGGUGUAGUGUGAACUGAUAAUACGUCAACCCAUCGUGGUUGACUUCUGCUUAAUAGGACAAUUUGUGUUCAGCAAAAUGAGAUUGAGCGAUAACAGGUCCGUGAUGCCCUUAGAUGUUCUGGGCUGCACGCGCGCUACAAUGUGAGCAGCAACGCGUAUCCUUGCCCGAAAGGGCCGGGAAAUCGCUUAAAUGCCCAUUUAGUCGGGAUUAUGGAUUGAAAUGGUCCAUAUGAACCUGGAAUUCCCAGUAAGUGCUGGUCAUUAGCUAGCGUUGAUUACGUCCCUGCCCUUUGUACACACCGCCCGUCGCUACUACCGAUGGAUUAUUUAGUGAGGUCUUGAAGGUGAACAUUGCUAUCCCCUCGGGAUUACAUUUGACUCGCUGAAGUUGACCGAACUUGA
This 570-nucleotide ribosomal RNA is filed under the name Aedes vittatus. RNAcentral's name for it is "SSU rRNA". It matches the Rfam family "Eukaryotic small subunit ribosomal RNA", at positions 1262 to 1768 of the family's 1831-position model. Lineage: Eukaryota; Metazoa; Arthropoda; Insecta; Diptera; Culicidae. The record is from RNAcentral.